CCUACCGGAGGCAACACUGCGGAAUAUUGCACAAUGNNNGGAAGCCUGAUGCAGCGACGCCGCGUGAGGGAUGACGGCCUUCGGGUUGUAAACCUCUUUCAGCAGGGAAGAAGCUGGAGUGACGGUACCUGCAGAANANGNACCGGNUANCUCCGUGCCAGCAGCCGCGGUAAU
This 174-nucleotide ribosomal RNA is filed under the name uncultured bacterium. Its description in RNAcentral is "partial 16S rRNA". It matches the Rfam family "Bacterial small subunit ribosomal RNA", at positions 338 to 524 of the family's 1533-position model. The record is from RNAcentral.